ACGAACGCUGGCGGCAGGCCUAACACCUGCAAGUCGAGCGCCCCGCAAGGGGAGCGGCGGACGGGUGAGUAACGCGUGGGAAUAUGCCCUUUGCUACGGAAUAGUCUCGGGAAACUGGGGGUAAUACCGUAUACGCCCUUUGGGGGAAAGAUUUAUCGGCGAAGGAUUAGCCCGCGUUGGAUUAGGUAGUUGGUGGGGUAAUGGCCUACCAAGCCGACGAUCCAUAGCUGGUUUGAGAGGAUGAUCAGCCACACUGGGACUGAGACACGGCCCAGACUCCUACGGGAGGCAGCAGUGGGGAAUCUUAGACAAUGGGGGCAACCCUGAUCUAGCCAUGCCGCGUGAGUGAUGAAGGCCUUAGGGUUGUAAAGCUCUUUCAGCUGGGAAGAUAAUGACGGUACCAGCAGAAGAAGCCCCGGCUAACUCCGUG
This 430-nucleotide ribosomal RNA is filed under the name uncultured bacterium. RNAcentral describes it as "partial 16S ribosomal RNA". It matches the Rfam family "Bacterial small subunit ribosomal RNA", at positions 29 to 507 of the family's 1533-position model. The record is from RNAcentral.